GCCUUCGUGGGGUAAUGGUCAGCACACUCGGAAAGUAUUCGAGAGGUCCGAGGUUCGAAUCCCGGCGAGGGCA
RNAcentral lists this transfer RNA (73 nucleotides) under Stegodyphus mimosarum. It matches the Rfam family "tRNA". Rfam says of the family: Transfer RNA (tRNA) molecules are approximately 80 nucleotides in length. Their secondary structure includes four short double-helical elements and three loops (D, anti-codon, and T loops). The record is from Rfam by way of RNAcentral. Lineage: Eukaryota; Metazoa; Arthropoda; Arachnida; Araneae; Eresidae.